Small RNA from Leptolyngbya sp. Heron Island J, 77 nucleotides. It matches the Rfam family "CyVA-1 RNA". Rfam says of the family: Cyanobacteria, Acidobacteria (1 example), Verrucomicrobia (1 example). NCBI's taxonomy places the organism in Bacteria, Bacillati, Cyanobacteriota, Cyanophyceae, Leptolyngbyales, Leptolyngbyaceae. The record is from Rfam.
GUGUUGACUGGGUGUUGUACCGCUGUGUCCCAUUAUCAAACCUUGAAGGAGAGCGACGUCAAAGGUUUGAGCAACAC